This 277-nucleotide long non-coding RNA is filed under the name Olea europaea (common olive). Its description in RNAcentral is "long non-coding RNA (OEUR_LNC012132)". Lineage: Eukaryota; Viridiplantae; Streptophyta; Magnoliopsida; Lamiales; Oleaceae. The record is from RNAcentral.
AUGAAGAAAAUCAAACUAGCCGAAGCUGCAAUCUCAUUUUUAGACCAAUCCAAAAGUCAUGUGGAGAAAUGAAGGGCAUAUUCCGACUCUAGACAAUGAGGUAAACCCAAUUGUCUAAUGCAUGAGUUCUAUGAGUAGAAGCUCUCUCGGCGAGUGGCGGUGCAUCACACAUUUUUCGACGAAGUGGUCUGAAGACAAAUUGCUCAUGGAGUCUCUACAGGCUUGUUGGUGGGUUUGUUUUCUACUUAGGGUACUACGGUGAUUUUGAACCGUUUUG